RNAcentral lists this ribosomal RNA (255 nucleotides) under Exiguobacterium sp. KKBO11. RNAcentral describes it as "partial 23S ribosomal RNA". It matches the Rfam family "Bacterial large subunit ribosomal RNA", at positions 1443 to 1697 of the family's 2925-position model. Lineage: Bacteria; Bacillati; Bacillota; Bacilli; Caryophanales. The record is from RNAcentral.
CCGCCGAUCCACCGUUUGAACAAUGGGGGGACGCAGGAGGAUAGUGACGCAUGCGGAUGGAAGUGCAUGUGCAAGUUUCAAGACCGUCUGAUUGGCAAAUCCGUCAGGCAUCAAAGUCAAGGAACGAUGCGGAGUCCCGUAGGGACGUAGGUCACGAUUUCACACUGCCAAGAAAAGCCUCUAGUGAGGGGGAAGGCGCCAGUACCGUAAACCGACACAGGUAGGCGAGAUGAGAAUUCUAAGACGCGCGGGAUA